AUGUCGGAUCAUGUGGCCCAAAGCCAGCCAGUGUUGUCAAUGCCAUCUUCAGUACCUUCAACUCUCAUGCCAUCUUCAGUCACAUCCAAGAGGCAUCCAUGUUCUUCCGCGAGUGUGACAUACAUCAGCAGACGUAAACUUGUCGAAGUCGUCGAUGGACUGCUCGGUGUGAUGACACCAUCGUCAACCCAUAUAAAGCCAUCUGUGCAUUCUUUUUCUGAUGGUCCAUCUGAUGAGCUUUGUCCUUACAAAGCUUGGUUGGCAACAUGCCCUUCUGCUUUAGCUUCCUUCGACCGGAUCAUAGCAAGUGCGCAGGGCAAGAAGAUCGCCUUGUUUCUGGACUAUGACGGCACGCUUUCGCCUAUUGUUAAUGAUCCCGAGAAGGCGUUUAUGUCCCCGGAGAUGCGUGCUGCUGUGAAGAAUGUCGCAAAGUUCUUCCCUACAGCGAUCGUCAGUGGGAGGUCCCGUGACAAGGUGUUCGAAUUUGUACAGCUGAAGGAGCUCUGCUACGCUGGAAGUCAUGGAAUGGACAUAAUGCUAUCGUCUGCAGAUUCUGAAAGUAAAACAGAAGAUGACAAAGAAACCAAACUUUUCCAACCUGCAAGUGAGUUUUUACCCAUGAUCAUUGAGGCUUACGACUCCCUAGUGGAGGCCACCAGAUCAAUCACGGGUGCAAAUGUUGAGAACAACAAGUUCUGUGUGUCUGUACAUUACCGCAACGUCGACAAGCAGGACUGGAAUUCGGUCGCGCAGCUUGUCGACGAUGUGCUGAAGUCUUUUCCUCAUCUCAAACUAACAACCGGACGAAAGGUUUUAGAGGUUCGUCCAGUGAUUGACUGGGACAAGGGGAAGGCAGUGGAGUUCCUGCUGCAGUCGCUCCGGCUAGAUGACCCCGAAAGCGUUCUCCCUAUCUACAUCGGAGAUGAUCGAACCGACGAAGACGCGUUCAAGGUGCUUCGCGAGCGGAACUGUGGGUGCGGAAUUCUAGUUUCACAGCUGCCCAAGCAGACUCAAGCCUUCUACUCGCUGAGAGCUCCAUCUGAAGUGAUGGAGUUCCUGGAUUCCUUGGUGAGAUGGAAGGAGCAACAGCAGCCAGCCCAUGUUCAAGAAUGA
This 1113-nucleotide ribosomal RNA is filed under the name Triticum aestivum (bread wheat). RNAcentral describes it as "partial small subunit ribosomal RNA". Lineage: Eukaryota; Viridiplantae; Streptophyta; Magnoliopsida; Poales; Poaceae. The record is from RNAcentral.